Molecule: ribosomal RNA, 472 nt
Filed under: uncultured bacterium
Lineage: Bacteria
Description: bacterial SSU rRNA
Rfam family: Bacterial small subunit ribosomal RNA
Source: RNAcentral
GAUGAACGCUGGCGGUAUGCCUAACACAUGCAAGUCGAACGGAGCACCCCUGACAGAGGUUUCGGCCAAUGGAUGGGAAUGCUUAGUGGCGGACGGGUGAGUAACGCGUGAGGAACCUGCCUUUCAGUGGGGGAUAACACAUCGAAAGAUGUGCUAAUACCGCAUAACAUAGCGAUGGGGCAUCCCAUUGCUAUCAAAGAUUUAUUGCUGAAAGAUGGCCUCGCGUCCAAUUAGCUAGUUGGUGAGGUAACGGCCCACCAAGGCGACGAUUGGUAGCCGGGACUGAGAGGUUGAACGGCCACAUUGGGACUGAGACACGGCCCAGACUCCUACGGGAGGCAGCAGUGGGGAAUAUUGCACAAUGGGGGAAACCCUGAUGCAGCAAUGCCGCGUGAAGGAUGAAAGGUUUUCGGGAUUGUAAACUUCUUUUGUACGGGACGAAACAAAUGAACGGUACCGUAAAGGAAUAAAG